Molecule: RNase P RNA, 346 nt
Filed under: Bacillota bacterium
Lineage: Bacteria; Bacillati; Bacillota
Description: RNase P RNA component class A
Rfam family: Bacterial RNase P class A
About the family: Ribonuclease P (RNase P) is a ubiquitous endoribonuclease, found in archaea, bacteria and eukarya as well as chloroplasts and mitochondria. Its best characterised activity is the generation of mature 5'-ends of tRNAs by cleaving the 5'-leader elements of precursor-tRNAs.
Source: RNAcentral
AGGAGUGGCGGGGUGGUCGCCCGCCAUAUUUCUGGCGGGAGGAAAGUCCGGACUCCAGCAGGGAGGGUGCCUCCUAACAGGAGGAGCCCGCAAGGGCUGGAAAGUGCCACAGAAAUUAUACCGUCCGCCAUUUUUUGGCGGAUAAGGGUGAAAUGGUGAGGUAAGAGCUCACCGUCCGUCUGGUAACAGGCGGAGCCAGGCAAACCCCACCUGGAGCAAGGUCAAGCAGGGUUAUGGGUUCCCUGCCCCUUUAAGCCCGGGUUGACCGCUUGAGCCUGCAGGUGACUGCAGGCCAAGAUGAAUGACCACCUUAAAACAGAAUCCGGCUUACCAGCCACUCCUCCAG